UGCUGGAGGUAUCAGAAGUGCGAAUGCUGACAUAAGUAACGAUAAAGCGGGUGAAAAGCCCGCUCGCCGGAAGACCAAGGGUUCCUGUCCAACGUUAAUCGGGGCAGGGUGAGUCGACCCCUAAGGCGAGGCCGAAAGGCGUAGUCGAUGGGAAACGGGUUAAUAUUCCCGUACUUGGUGUUACUGCGAAGGGGGGACGGAGAAGGCUAUGUUGGCCGGGCGACGGUUGUCCCGGUUUAAGCGUGUAGGUGUGUGUUCCAGGUAAAUCCGGUUCACUUUAACACUGAGGCGUGACGACGAGGCACUACGGUGCUGAAGCAACAAAUGCCCUGCUUCCAGGAAAAGCCUCUAAGCAUCAGGUAACAUCAAAUCGUACCCCAAACCGACACAGGUGGUCAGGUAGAGAAUACCAAGGCGCUUGAGAGAACUCGGGUGAAGGAACUAGGCAAAAUGGUGCCGUAACUUCGGGAGAAGGCACGCUGACACGUAGGUGAAGUGAUUUACUCACGGAGCUGAAGUCAGUCGAAGAUACCAGCUGGCUGCAACUGUUUAUUAAAAACACAGCACUGUGCAAACACGAAAGUGGACGUAUACGGUGUGACGCCUGCCCGGUGCCGGAAGGUUAAUUGAUGGGGUCAGCGCAAGCGAAGCUCCUGAUCGAAGCCCCGGUAAACGGCGGCCGUAACUAUAACGGUCCUAAGGUAGCGAAAUUCCUUGUCGGGUAAGUUCCGACCUGCACGAAUGGCGUAAUGAUGGCCAGGCUGUCUCCACCCGAGACUCAGUGAAAUUGAACUCGCUGUGAAGAUGCAGUGUACCCGCGGCAAGACGGAAAGACCCCGUGAACCUUUACUAUAGCUUGACACUGAACAUUGAGCCUUGAUGUGUAGGAUAGGUGGGAGGCUUUGAAGUGUGGACGCCAGUCUGCAUGGAGCCGACCUUGAAAUACCACCCUUUAAUGUUUGAUGUUCUAACGUGGACCCGUAAUCCGGGUUGCGGACAGUGUCUGGUGGGUAGUUUGACUGGGGCGGUCUCCUCCUAAAGAGUAACGGAGGAGCACGAAGGUUGGCUAAUCCUGGUCGGACAUCAGGAGGUUAGUGCAAUGGCAUAAGCCAGCUUGACUGCGAGCGUGACGGCGCGAGCAGGUGCGAAAGCAGGUCAUAGUGAUCCGGUGGUUCUGAAUGGAAGGGCCAUCGCUCAACGGAUAAAAGGUACUCCGGGGAUAACAGGCUGAUACCGCCCAAGAGUUCAUAUCGACGGCGGUGUUUGGCACCUCGAUGUCGGCUCAUCACAUCCUGGGGCUGAAGUAGGUCCCAAGGGUAUGGCUGUUCGCCAUUUAAAGUGGUACGCGAGCUGGGUUUAGAACGUCGUGAGACAGUUCGGUCCCUAUCUGCCGUGGGCGCUGGAGAACUGAGGGGGGCUGCUCCUAGUACGAGAGGACCGGAGUGGACGCAUCACUGGUGUUCGGGUUGUCAUGCCAAUGGCACUGCCCGGUAGCUAAAUGCGGAAGAGAUAAGUGCUGAAAGCAUCUAAGCACGAAACUUGCCCCGAGAUGAGUUCUCCAUGAGACUUAGAGUCUCCUGAAGGAACGUUGAAGACGACGACGUUGAUAGGCCGGGUGUGUAAGGCAGCGAUGCGUUGGAGCUAACCGGUACUAAUGAACCGUGAGGCUUAACCUUACAACGCCAA
RNAcentral lists this ribosomal RNA (1686 nucleotides) under Salmonella enterica subsp. enterica serovar Typhimurium. RNAcentral's name for it is "bacterial LSU rRNA". It matches the Rfam family "Bacterial large subunit ribosomal RNA", at positions 1271 to 2925 of the family's 2925-position model. The record is from RNAcentral. Lineage: Bacteria; Pseudomonadati; Pseudomonadota; Gammaproteobacteria; Enterobacterales; Enterobacteriaceae.